CGGUGAAUACGUUCCCGGGCCUUGUACACACCGCCCGUCAAGCCAUGGAAGCUGGGGGUACCUGAAGUACGUAACCGCAAGGAGCGUGUUAGGGUAAAACCGGUAACUGGGGCU
This 114-nucleotide ribosomal RNA is filed under the name uncultured bacterium. RNAcentral's name for it is "partial 16S ribosomal RNA". It matches the Rfam family "Bacterial small subunit ribosomal RNA", at positions 1360 to 1482 of the family's 1533-position model. The record is from RNAcentral.